Molecule: ribosomal RNA, 274 nt
Filed under: uncultured bacterium
Lineage: Bacteria
Description: partial 16S ribosomal RNA
Rfam family: Bacterial small subunit ribosomal RNA
Source: RNAcentral
CUACGGAGGGUGCAAGCGUUAAUCGGAAUUACUGGGCGUAAAGCGUACGUAGGCGGUUAUUUAAGUCAGAUGUGAAAGCCCCGGGCUUAACUUGGGAACUGCAUUUGAAACUGGGUAACUAGAGUUUAGUAGAGGGGAGUGGAAUUUCAGGUGUAGCGGUGAAAUGCGUAGAGAUCUGAAGGAACACCAGUGGCGAAGGCGACUCCCUGGACUAAAACUGACGCUGAGGUACGAAAGCGUGGGUAGCAAACAGGAUUAGAAACCCUAGUAGUCC